This 456-nucleotide ribosomal RNA is filed under the name Netelia sp. CNC 422442. Its description in RNAcentral is "partial 28S ribosomal RNA". Lineage: Eukaryota; Metazoa; Arthropoda; Insecta; Hymenoptera; Ichneumonidae. The record is from RNAcentral.
CCUGAGAAACCCAAAAGAUCGAAUGGGGAGAUUCAUCGUCAGCGAGCCUGGUACGUGUGCGGCUCGCGAUGCCGGGGACUUCGGUUCUUUGGCACGCGUCUGCAUUGUUUUAUUGCCGGGUCUCGUCGGCGUGCACUUCUCCCCUAGUAGGACGUCGCGACCCGUUGGGUGUCGGCCUACGGCUCGGGUGGGAGCCUGUCAUGCGCCACGCUUUACGGCGUCGUCUGGCAGACCCCCGGUUGUCUGGCCGGUUGCUCGGCGGUACUCGCACGGUAUCGGGCCGCAAAUAUUCGAACUGCGUCCGGCCCGCCGCAAGCGAGGUCAGUGUUUCCCGGAUGUACGGACCUAGCGCCGUCACCGGGCCUGGCCAGCUGUUGGUCGGCGGUGUCCUGGGACUGGCUCUUAAUUAAAUUAUGAUACCGGUCGGCGACGCUACUGCUUUGGGUACUUUCAGGA